GGAUAUGGGCCUUGAGAGAGGGAGCCCAGAGAUGGACUCUGAGACAUGAGUCCAGGCCCUACGGGGCGCAGCAGUCGCGAAAACUUCGCAAUGGGGGAAACCCCGACGAGGGAAUUCCAAGUGCCAGCACUUUGUGUUGGCUGUUCUUCUGUCUAAAAAACAGGAGAAGUAAGGGGCGGGUAAGACGGGUGCCAGCCGCCGCGGUAAUACCCGCGCCCCAAGUGGUGGUCGAUAUUAUUGAGCCUAAAACGUCCGUAGCCGGUCUUCUAAAUCCUUGGGUAAAUCGGGCAGCUCAACUGUCCGAAUUCCGGGGAGACUGGGAGACUUGGGACCGGGAGAGGUCAGAGGUACUUCUGGGGUAGGGGUAAAAUCCUGUAAUCCUGGAAGGACCACCGGUGGCGAAGGCGUCUGACUAGAACGGAUCCGACGGUGAGGGACGAAGCCCUGGGGCGCAAACGGGAUUAGAUACCCCGGUAGUCCAGGGUGUAAACGCUGCGGGCUUGGUGUUGGGGGUCCUUAGUGGGCGCCCAGUGCCGG
Molecule: ribosomal RNA, 537 nt
Filed under: uncultured archaeon
Lineage: Archaea
Description: bacterial SSU rRNA
Rfam family: Archaeal small subunit ribosomal RNA
Source: RNAcentral